Molecule: unclassified non-coding RNA, 217 nt
Filed under: plant metagenome
Description: partial contains small subunit ribosomal RNA, internal transcribed spacer 1, and 5.8S ribosomal RNA
Source: RNAcentral
UCUCCGUAGGUGAACCUGCGGAGGGAUCAUUACAAGUGACCCCGGUCUUACCACCGGGAUGUUCAUAACCCUUUGUUGUCCGACUCUGUUGCCUCCGGGGCGACCCUGCCUUCGGGCGGGGGCUCCGGGUGGACACUUCAAACUCUUGCGUAACUUUGCAGUCUGAGUAAACUUAAUUAAUUAAUUAAAACUUUUAACAACGGAUCUCUUGGUUCUG